Molecule: ribosomal RNA, 473 nt
Filed under: uncultured bacterium
Lineage: Bacteria
Description: bacterial SSU rRNA
Rfam family: Bacterial small subunit ribosomal RNA
Source: RNAcentral
UGGGGAAUAUUGCGCAAUGGACGAAAGUCUGACGCAGCGACGCCGCGUGUGGGAGGAAGCUCUUCGGGGUGUAAACCACUGUCAGGAGGGAAGAACGGCGCCGGUUCGAACAGUUCCGGCGAUUGACGGUACCUCCAAAGGAAGCGCCGGCUAACUCCGUGCCAGCAGCCGCGGUAAGACGGAGGGCGCAAGCGUUGUUCGGAAUUACUGGGCGUAAAGCGCGGGCAGGCGGUCUGUUAAGUCGUUUGUGAAAAUCCGGGGCUCAACCCCGGAAAUGCAUACGAUACUGGCAGGCUGGAGACUGGUAGAGGCUAGCGGAAUUCCUGGUGUAGCGGUGGAAUGCGUAGAUAUCAGGAAGAACACCUGUGGCGAAGGCGGCUAGCUGGGCCAGUUCUGACGCUGAUCCGCGAAAGCCAGGGGAGCAAACGGGAUUAGAUACCCUCGUAGUCCCUGAGCGGGCUGGCAAGGCGCAU